GUAGGUGGCAAGCGUUGUCCGGAAUUAUUGGGCGUAAAGCGCGCGCAGGCGGUUCUUUAAGUCUGAUGUGAAAGCCCACGGCUCAACCGUGGAGGGUCAUUGGAAACUGGAGAACUUGAGUACAGAAGAGGAAAGCGGAAUUCCACGUGUAGCGGUGAAAUGCGUAGAGAUGUGGAGGAACACCAGUGGCGAAGGCGGCUUUCUGGUCUGUAACUGACGCUGAGGCGCGAAAGCGUGGGGAGCAAACAGGGAUUAGAUACCCUGGUAGUCCACGGCGUAAACGAUGAGUGCUAAGUGUUAGGGGGUUUCCCGCCCCUUAGUGCUGCAGCUAACGCAUUAAGCACUCCGCCUGGGGAGUACGGCCGCAAGGCUG
This 373-nucleotide ribosomal RNA is filed under the name uncultured organism. RNAcentral describes it as "partial 16S ribosomal RNA". It matches the Rfam family "Bacterial small subunit ribosomal RNA", at positions 527 to 896 of the family's 1533-position model. The record is from RNAcentral.